AUACCAGCACCCCGAGUGGUCGGGACGAUUAUUGGGCCUAAAGCAUCCGUAGCCGGUGUAGCACGUCCUCCGUUAAAUCCACUUGCCCAACAAGUGGGCUGCGGAGGAUACUGCUACACUAGGGGGCGGGAGAGGCGAGGGGUAUUCCACGGGUAGGGGUAAAAUCCUCUGAUCCGUGGAGGACCACCAGUGGCGAAGGCGCCUCGCCAGAACGCGCCCGACGGUGAGGGAUGAAAGCUGGGGGAGCAAACUGGAUUAGAAACCCCAGUAGUCC
Molecule: ribosomal RNA, 274 nt
Filed under: uncultured bacterium
Lineage: Bacteria
Description: partial 16S ribosomal RNA
Rfam family: Archaeal small subunit ribosomal RNA
Source: RNAcentral